UACGGAGGGGACUAGCGUUGUUCGGAAUUACUAGGCGUAAAGCGCACGUAGGCGUAUUUGUAAGUCAGGGGUGAAAUCCCGGGGCUCAACCUCGGAACUGCCUUUGAUACUGCAAAUCUCGAGUCCGGAAGAGGUGAGUGGAAUUCCUAGUGUAGAGGUGAAAUCCGUAGAUAUUAGGAAGAACACCAGUGGCGAAGGCGGCUCACUGGUCCGGUACUGACGCUGAGGUGCGAAAGCGUGGGGAGCAAGCAGG
This 253-nucleotide ribosomal RNA is filed under the name uncultured bacterium. RNAcentral describes it as "partial 16S ribosomal RNA". It matches the Rfam family "Bacterial small subunit ribosomal RNA", at positions 524 to 776 of the family's 1533-position model. The record is from RNAcentral.